UGGGGAAUAUUGCACAAUGGGCGCAAGCCUGAUGCAGCGACGCCGCGUGAGGGAUGACGGCCUUCGGGUUGUAAACCUCUUUCAACGCCGACGAAGCGUAAGUGACGGUAGGCGUAGAAGAAGCACCGGCCAACUACGUGCCAGCAGCCGCGGUAAUACGUAGGGUGCGAGCGUUGUCCGGAAUUACUGGGCGUAAAGAGCUCGUAGGUGGUUUGUCGCGUUGUUCGUGAAAACUCACAACUCAAUUGUGGGCGUGCGGGCGAUACGGGCAGACUGGAGUACUGCAGGGGAGACUGGAAUUCCUGGUGUAGCGGUGGAAUGCGCAGAUAUCAGGAGGAACACCGGUGGCGAAGGCGGGUCUCUGGGCAGUAACUGACGCUGAGGAGCGAAAGCGUGGGGAGCGAACAGGAUUAGAUACCCUGGUAGUCCACGCCGUAAACGGUGGGUACUAGGUGUGGGUUUCCUUCCUUGGGAUCCGUGCCGUAGCUAACGCAUUAAGUA
RNAcentral lists this ribosomal RNA (501 nucleotides) under uncultured Actinomycetes bacterium. RNAcentral's name for it is "bacterial SSU rRNA". It matches the Rfam family "Bacterial small subunit ribosomal RNA", at positions 355 to 866 of the family's 1533-position model. Lineage: Bacteria; Bacillati; Actinomycetota; Actinomycetes. The record is from RNAcentral.